This 266-nucleotide ribosomal RNA is filed under the name uncultured bacterium. RNAcentral's name for it is "partial 16S ribosomal RNA". It matches the Rfam family "Bacterial small subunit ribosomal RNA", at positions 1226 to 1500 of the family's 1533-position model. The record is from RNAcentral.
UACAAUGGCAGGUACAGAGGGAUGCUACCGGGCGACCGGAUGCGGAUCUCGAAAGCCUGUCCCAGUUCGGACUGGAGUCUGCAACCCGACUCCACGAAGUUGGAUUCGCUAGUAAUCGCGCAUCAGCCAUGGCGCGGUGAAUACGUUCCCGGGCCUUGUACACACCGCCCGUCAAGCCAUGGGAGCCGGGGGCGCCUGAAGUCCGUGACCGCGAGGGUCGGCCUAGGGUGAAACCGGUGAUUGGGGCUAAGUCGUAACAAGGUAUC